AAGGAUCAUUACCGAGUUUAGGGUCUUGCGUCCACGAACCACUCGUGGCGCGCCCGAAUCUCCCAACCCUUUGUCUACCUGACCGACGUUGCUUCGGCGGACCGUGCUCCCCCUUUCCCACAAGGAGGGGGGAAGCCGCCGGAUGCCCCUGCCAGGGCGUCUGGAGCGUCUCGUCCGCCGACGGCCAACCACAAAACUCUUGUACCAAACCGUGUCGUCUGAACAAAAACAUUUUUGAUUGUAUAAUCAUAAAACAAAACUUUCAACAACGGAUCUCUUGGUUCUG
This 286-nucleotide unclassified non-coding RNA is filed under the name uncultured fungus. Its description in RNAcentral is "partial contains 18S rRNA, ITS1, 5.8S rRNA, ITS2 and 28S rRNA". The record is from RNAcentral. Lineage: Eukaryota; Fungi.